AGGGCGUACGGCGGAUGCCUAGGCUCUGGAAGGCGAUGAAGGACGUGGCAAGCUGCGAAAAGCCAUGGGGAGGUGCAAGCGACCCUUGAUCCAUGGAUGUCCGAAUGGGGCAACCCGGCAGUCUGACGGACUGUCACCCGCGCCUAAGCGCGGGAGCGAACCCCGGGAACUGAAACAUCUUAGUACCGGGAGGAAGAGAAAACAAAAUGUGAUACCCCAAGUAGUGGCGAGCGAACGGGGCACAGCCCAAACCCGCCCGGUUCCGGCCGGACGGGGGUUGUGGGACUGCGACACGGCAAGAGAUCAUGCGAGUGGAAUUGUCUGGAAAGACAAGCCGCAGCGGGUGACAGCCCCUUACACGAAGCAUGACGAAGCCCAGCAGAAUCCCGAGUAGCGCGGGGCACGUGAAACCCUGUGUGAAUCCGGCGGGACCAUCCGCCAAGGCUAAACACUCUCCAGAGACCGAUAGCGAACCAGUACCGUGAGGAAAGGUGAAAAGAACCCAUAGCAUGGGAGUGAAAAAGUACCUGAAACCGUACGCCUACAAGCGGUAGGAGCUGCCUUCUGGCAGUGACUGCGUGCCUUUUGCAUAAUGAACCUACGAGUUGCCGUCGUCAGCGAGGUUAAGUGGCAGCGAGCCACGCAGCCGAAGCGAAAGCGAGUCUGAACAGGGCGCAUAGUUGCCGGCGGCAGACGCGAAACCAAGUGAUCUACCCAUGGCCAGGUUGAAGUCCCGGUAACACGGGAUGGAGGACCGAACCGAUAAGCGUUGAAAAGCUUCCGGAUGAGCUGUGGGUAGGAGUGAAAGGCCAAUCAAACUUGGAGAUAGCUCGUACUCCCCGAAAAGCAUUUAGGUGCUGCCUGGGGUGUUUCCCUGCGGAGGUAGAGCGACCGGUUGGAUGCGAGGGCUUCACCGCCUAUCAAGUCCUGUCGAACUCCGAAUGCCGCAGGGUGAAGCCCUGGAGAAAGGGGACGGGUGCUAACGUCCGUUCCCGAGAGGAGAAGAAUCCAGACCACCGUCUAAGGCCCCGAAGUCGCAGCCGAGUUAGGCUAACGAAGUCUCUUCCCCAUGACAGCUAGGAUGUUGGCUUGGAAGCAGCCAUUCAUUCAAAGAGUGCGUAACAGCUCACUAGUCGAGGGAUCAGGCAUGGAUAAUAAUCGGGUAUAAGCUGCGCGCCGAAGCCGUGGGAAUCGAUAAGAUUCGGUAGGGGAGCAUUCCGGUCGGCAGUGAAGGCAGGGCGCGAGCCCUUCUGGAGCGUCCGGAAAAGCAGAUGUAGGUAUAAGUAACGAUAAGGAGGGUGAGAACCCCUCCCGCCGUAAGACCAAGGGUUCCCGGGCGACGUCAAUCGGCCCGGGGUAAGUCGGUGCCUAAGGAUAAGGCGAACGCCGAAGCCGAUGGAAGAAACUGUCAACAUUCAGUUACUGGCUCUCUGUGCGACGCGGUGACGCGGUCGUGAAACCUCCGCGCCCUGACGGAAUAGGGCGUUGAAGGGUGUAGGAGUUGAUUCCGGCAGUGAAGUACACCGGAUGAUCCGAACCUGACAGUAUGCAACGGGCUCCGGCCCCGCGCAAUAGCGAGGGUAAGCAUGCCGCCAAGAAAACCCGCUAAGCUCCAGCAGAGAGGCAGCCGUACUCUAAACGGACACACGUGGUCGGGUAGAAUAUACCAAGGCGCUCGGGUGACUCGCGGUUAAGGAACUAGGCAAACUGACCCCGUAACUUCGGGAAAAGGGGUCCUCAUCGCAAGGUGAGGCGCAGAGAAUAGGUCCAGGCAACUGUUUACCAAAAACACAGGACUGUGCCAAGCAUAGAGGCGACGUAUACAGUCUGACACCUGCCCGGUGCCGGAAGGUUAAGAGGAGAUGUCAUCCCUCGGGAGAAGCAUUGAAUUGAAGCCCCGGUAAACGGCGGCCGUAACUAUAACGGUCCUAAGGUAGCGAAAUUCCUUGUCGGGUAAGUUCCGACCUGCACGAAUGGUGUAAUGAUCCGGACACUGUCUCAACCGCGAGCCCGGUGAAAUUGUAGUAUCGGUGAUGAUGCCGAUUACCCGCGAUGGGACGAAAAGACCCCGUGAACCUUUACUGCAGCUUAGUGCUGCGUCCGGGCAUCGGAUGUGUAGGAUAGGCCGGAGGCUGAGAAGCGGGCACGCCAGUGUUCGUGGAGCCGCCGUUGAAAUACGGCCCUUCCGCUGUCUGGACGCUAACUCCCCCUGUGGAGGACACCGCUUGGCGGGCAGUUUGACUGGGGUGGUCGCCUCCAAAAGCGUAACGGAGGCUUCUAAAGGUGCCCUCAGGACGAUUGGUAACCGUCCGCAGAGUGUAAUGGCAAAAGGGCGCUUGACUGGGAGGCAGACAUGCCGAGCAGGUAGGAAACUAGAGCAUAGUGAUCCGGUGGUUCCGUAUGGAAGGGCCAUCGCUCAAAGGAUAAAAGGUACUCCGGGGAUAACAGGCUGAUCCCUCCCAAGAGCUCAUAUCGACGGAGUGGUUUGGCACCUCGAUGUCGGCUCGUCACAUCCUGGGGCUGGAGCAGGUCCCAAGGGUUCGGCUGUUCGCCGAUUAAAGUGGCACGCGAGCUGGGUUCAGAACGUCGUGAGACAGUUCGGUCUCUAUCUAUCGUGGGCGUAUGAGAUUUGCGCGGCUCGGGCAUUAGUACGAGAGGACCGUGCCUGACCGACCUCUGGUCCGCCUGUUGUGCCGCCAGGUGCACUGCAGGGUAGCUAAGUCGGGAUCGGAUAAGCGCUGAAUGCAUCUAAGCGCGAAGCCGGCCGCAAGAUUAGAUCUCACAGGGUCGUCGUAGACUACGACGUUGAUAGGCUGCAGGUGUAAAGACGGCGACGUCAAAGCCGAGCAGUACUAAUUGCCCGCCAUCUUUGCC
RNAcentral lists this ribosomal RNA (2874 nucleotides) under wallaby gut metagenome. RNAcentral describes it as "bacterial LSU rRNA". It matches the Rfam family "Bacterial large subunit ribosomal RNA". The record is from RNAcentral.